AAUGCUCCAAGUGUGUUCUGCCAUGAUGGAAUAGAGUGGACUGUUACUUUGCUCUGAAAACUGUGUAUCUGGAACACAGCCUCAGGUGGCAUUUGCCUUAGUGGUAGCGCCAUCACGUCUCUGCUUCAUGCUGAACUAUUAACAGCCAAGCAGUCUUUUUCACUAAUGCUAUUGUUUUGUCACAUCUUUCCCUCCUACACAACAUAAUGUUUAAGAAUAUGAGCUUUGAGAAGAACUGAGUAGAAAUUUCUACCCUGAGUAGAAAUUUUUUCAAAGAGAGAAUACAGAUGGCCAACAGGUAUACGAAAAGAUGUUCAACAUAGCUCAUCGUCAGGGAAAUGCAAAUCGAAACUACAGUGGGUAAGACAUGUACCUAAGGCCUUGGAAUCAGACUGCCAGAUGUGGAUCCUAGCUGAAUUUACUGGAUAUAGAUUUCCAGAUGGGUUACCCAUAGUAGAAGGGGCUUCCCAGGAAGCUCAAAUGGUAAAGAAUUUGCUUGCAAUGCUGGACACCUGGGUUCGAUCCCUGGGUCAGGAAGAUCCCCUAGAGAAGGGCAUGGCAACCCACUCCAGUAUUCUUGCCUGGACAAUCCCAUGGACAGAGGAGCCUGGCGGGCUACAGUCCAUGGACAAAGAGUCGGACACAACUGAGCAACAAACAUACAUUCAUAGCAGAACAGAAGAAUUGUGUU
Molecule: long non-coding RNA, 691 nt
Organism: Bos taurus (domestic cattle)
Lineage: Eukaryota; Metazoa; Chordata; Mammalia; Artiodactyla; Bovidae
Source: Ensembl